RNAcentral lists this ribosomal RNA (478 nucleotides) under uncultured bacterium. RNAcentral's name for it is "partial 16S ribosomal RNA". It matches the Rfam family "Bacterial small subunit ribosomal RNA", at positions 28 to 523 of the family's 1533-position model. The record is from RNAcentral.
GACGAACGCUGGCGGCGUGCUUAACACAUGCAAGUCGAACGGUAAGGCCCUUCGGGGUACACGAGUGGCGAACGGGUGAGUAACACGUGGGUGAUCUGCCCUGCACUUCGGGAUAAGCCUGGGAAACUGGGUCUAAUACCGGAUAGGACCACUGCCUGCAUGGGUGGUGGUGGAAAGCUUUUGCGGCGUGGGAUGGGCCCGCGGCCUAUCAGCUUGUUGGUGGGGUGAUGGCCUACCAAGGCGACGACGGGUAGCCGGCCUGAGAGGGUGACCGGCCACACUGGGACUGAGAUACGGCCCAGACUCCUAGGGGAGGCAGCAGUGGGGAAUAUUGCACAAUGGGCGCAAGCCUGAUGCAGCGACGCCGCGUGAGGGAUGACGGCCUUCGGGUUGUAAACCUCUUGCAGCACCGACGAAGCGCAAGUGACGGUAGGUGCAGAAGAAGGACCGGCCAACUACGUGCCAGCAGCCGCCGCGG